CGGGGGGGCAAGCGUUGUUCGGAAUUACUGGGCGUAAAGGGCUCGUAGGCGGCCAACUAAGUCCGACGUUAAAUCCCCAGGCUUAACCUGGGAACUGCGUCGGAUACUGGAUGGCUUGAAUUCGGGAGAGGGAUGCAGAAUUCCAGGUGUAGCGGUGAAAUGCGUAGAUAUCUGGAGGAAUACCGGUGGCGAAGGCGGCAUCCUGGACCGACAUUGACGCUGAUGAGCGAAAGCUAGGGGAGCAAACGGGAUUAGAUACCCCGGUAGUCCUAGCCCUAAACGAUGAAUGCUUGGUGUGGCGGGUAUCGAUCCCUGCCGUGCCGAAGCUAACGCAUUAAGCAUUCCGCCUGGGGAGUACGGUCGCAAGGCUG
Molecule: ribosomal RNA, 371 nt
Filed under: uncultured organism
Description: bacterial SSU rRNA
Rfam family: Bacterial small subunit ribosomal RNA
Source: RNAcentral